GGGGCGUGGCCUGCGGGAGUAGCGCCGCGUCCGCCUUCCGGGUCGGGACCGGGCGGGCGGAGCCGAACCGGACCGGGACAGCCGGGCCCAGCGGGGCCGGGACAGCCGGGCCCAGCGGGGAAAGCAGAGCGGAGCGGGCCGGAUACGAGCCGAGCAGAACCGGGCUGAGCCAAACCGGACUGGGCCGCGAGCAGCCGAAAGCGCUCGGGCCGAACCGAGCGGAACCGGGAGUACCGAACCCGCUGGGACCGAGCCGAGUGGAACCGGGAGUACCGAACCCGUUGGGACCGAGCCGAGUGGAACCGGGAGUACCGAACCCGCUGGGACCGAGCCGAGCGGAACCGGGAUUACCGAACCUGCUCGGGCCGAGCGGAGCGGAACCGGGAGUACCGAGCCGAGCGGAACCGGGAGUACCGAACCCGCUGGUUCCGAACCGAGCGGAACCGAGCCGAGCGGAACCGGGAGUACCGAACCUGCUCGGGCCGAGCGGAGCAGAACCGGGAGUACCGAACCCGCUGGGACCGAGCCGAGCGAAACCGGGAUACCGAACCCGCUCGGGCCGAACCGAGCGGAACCGGGAGUACCGAGCCGAGCGGAACCGGGAGUACCGAACCCGUUCGGACCGAGCCGAGCGGAACCGGGAGUACCGAGCCGAGGGGAACCGGGAGUACCGAGCCCGUUCGGACCGGCCAUGGGGCAGAUCGAGUGGGCCAUGUGGGCGAACGAGCAGGCGCUCGCCGCCGGGCUCAUCCUGCUGACCGGCGGGAUCGUGGCGGUGGCGGGGCAGUUCCAGGGCUGGUACUUCGCGGCCUAUUCCAUCGCGGCGGGGGUUCUGGUCUGCCUGCUCGAGUACCCCAGGAGCAAACGGAAAAAGGGCUCCACCAUGGAGAGGUGUGGUCAGAAGUACCUGACAGCCGUGGUGAAGCUGCUGGGGCCCCUCACCAGGAAUUAUUACAUCCGAGCCGUCCUUCACGCCGUCCUGGCUGUGCCUGCCGGAUUCCUCCUCUCCACCAUCCUGGGCACCGUCUGCCUGGGCAUCGCCAGCGGCAUCUACCUGCUGGCUGCAGUCCGAGGGGAGGAGUGGAGACCCAUCGAGCAGAAGCCCCGGGAGCGGCCACAAGUGGGGGGCACCAUCAAGCAGCCCCCCAGCAACCCCCCGCCCCGACCACCCCCCGACGCCCGCAGGAAGCAGCCGGAGGUGGGGGGGCAGGUGAACCCCAUCCCUGUGGAGGUGGAAUAAUGGGGGGUCCUCCUGCCCCGCUGCUCCUGCUCCUGCUUCCCAGCUGCUCCUGGGGAUCCCCAAAUCCCUGGGGGUGCUGAGCUCCUGCUGGGGGUCCCCCACUCCUGGUGAUGCUCAGAUCUGUGGGAUCAUCAGUUCCCCCUGGGCUCCCCCAAAUUCCCAAAUCUGGGGUCCCCAGCUCCUGGGCAUCUCCAGAUCCCCAGCAAUGCUCAGCUCCCUGUAGGAUCUCCGUCUCCCACAGAUCCCCAGAUCCCUUAAGAAGCUCAGCUCCCAAAUUCCCAGUGAUGGGAUGCUCCUUGUGGGGUUUCCAGCCCUCGGGGGCUUCCCAGUUUCAGGAGAUUCCCAAAUCCCUGGGCCUGCUCAACUCCCAGUGGGGUCUCCAGCUCCCAGGAACUCCCCAGCUCCUGGACCUCCCCAAAUCCCUAAGAAUCUUCAGCUUCCUGUGGGAUCUGCAGCCCCCAAGGCCUUCCCUAAGGAUCCCCCAAAUCCUUGGGGAGUCUCAGCUCCCUGUGAGUCUCCAGUUCCUGGGAAACUCUGGAUCCCUGGGCAUGCUCAGCUCCCUGAGGGUCCCAACUCCCCGGGCACCCCCAGUUCCCUGGGGGAUCCCCAAAUCCCUGUGGAACUCCAGCUUUCAGGGAAUCCCCAGCUCCCGGGGGGAUCAGGCAGCUCUGCUCCCGCUCUCCUUGGUUUUUGUCCUUUCUGCAGUUGCUGUUGCAAUAAAAAGUGGGAAAG
This is a long non-coding RNA of Taeniopygia guttata (zebra finch), 1972 nucleotides long. The record is from Ensembl. NCBI's taxonomy places the organism in Eukaryota, Metazoa, Chordata, Aves, Passeriformes, Estrildidae.